Molecule: ribosomal RNA, 1236 nt
Filed under: metagenome
Description: bacterial LSU rRNA
Rfam family: Bacterial large subunit ribosomal RNA
Source: RNAcentral
CUCGUUAAGGAAUUAGGCAAAUUUCCCCCGUACGUUCGCAAUAAGGGGGGCCUCUGGUGGUGAGCUUAAUCGCAAAGCUGCUGGAGGCCGCAGAGAAAUGGCUCUUCCAACUGUUUAACAAAAACACAGGUCUCUGCUAAGUCGAAAGACGAAGUAUAGGGGCUGACGCCUGCCCAGUGCUGGAAGGUUAAGGGGAGAGGUUAGGCGCAAGCCGAAGCUUUGAGCCGAAGCCCCAGUGAACGGCGGCCGUAACGAUAACGGUCCUAAGGUAGCGAAAUUCCUUGUCGGGUAAGUUCCGACCCGCACGAAUGGCGUAAUGAGAGGAGCACUGUCUCAACGAGGGACUCGGCGAACAUUGAAGGACGUGUGAAGAUACACGUGACCCGCAGCGGGACAAAAAGACCCCGUGAAGCUUUACUACAACUUGCCAUUGAGUUAGGGCUAAACCUGUGUAGUAUAGGUGGGAGGCUUUGAAGCUGGGACGCCAGUCUCGGUGGAGCCACCGUUGAAAUACCACCCUGGUUUAUUCUUGGCUCUAACCUGUCGCCGUUAUCCGGCAUGGGAACAGUGGCUGGUGGGUAGUUUGACUGGGGCGGUCGCCUCCGAAAGCGUAACAGAGGCGCCCAAAGGUUCCCUCAGGCUGAAUGGAAACCAGCCGUUGAGUGUAAAGGCACAAGGGAGCUUGACUGCAAGACCAACAAGUCGCGCAGGGACGAAAGUCGGGCUUAGUGAUCCCACGGUUCAGAGUGGAAUGGCCGUGGCUUACCGGAUAAAAGCUACUCCGGGGAUAACAGGGUAGUCUGGUCCAAGAGUUCAUAUCGACGACCAGGUUCGCCACCUCGAUGUCGGCUCAUCACAUCCUGGGGCUGGAUAAGGUCCCAAGGGUUGGGCUGUUCGCCCAUUAAAGUGGUACGUGAGCUGGGUUCAGACCGUCGUGAGACAGGUCGGUCUCUAUCCGCUGUGGGCGUAAGGGAUUUGAGAGAAGCUGCCCCUAGUACGAGAGGACCGGGGUGGACGGACCUCUAGUGUGCCAGUUGUUCUGCCAAGAGCAUUGCUGGGUAGCUACGUCCGGCAGAGAUAACCGCUGAAAGCAUCUAAGUGGGAAACUCGUCUCAAGAUUAGAUCCCUCAUCCGUAUGGAGUAAGACCGCUAGAAGACUACUAGUUUGAUAGGCGGCAGGUGUAAGCGCAGUAAUGUGUUCAGCUUAGCCGUACUAAUGGUCGAGGGCUUACGUUU